UCGAAAUAUUGCUCAAAAUUUGAUAGCUUAAAUCAUUCAUAUUUACAUUUUAAUAGUCACGGUGGUAUUUCUGUAAUAUUGCUUAAAUUAUAAGUCAUCAUAUGUCAGACUCGUUGAAAUAUUGUCACAAGAGUUAAAUCCCUAAGCUUAAUUUCUCCUUUUAUCAGUACCACAAAGCCUCCAUUUUUUCACCACUUGUCGGCAACAAAAAUUUCAACGACGCAAACAUUCAAAGCUCUGAAUUCAAAUCUAUUCAAAAUGUCAUCACUGAAUCUGAUUCCACCUCUGUCACAACGAUUUUUUUGCUGCCGAUUAUGUUGCAAUGUCGCCAUCAGAUGUGUUGCAUGACGCUCGUCGAGGAUUUUAACCGCCACCACUGACGAUGGUCACAACACUACCGGCGACCGGCAAGGCUAGAUCCACGUGCACUGCAGCUUGGGCGGCCAGAUCUACAAGAUUCGGUGAGCGACAGAGUUAGAUCUACGAGAUUUGACGGUAUUGUUGCAACCUCUGUGCCUUACUCAUUUCACAAAAUGUCACUCCUCUUCUUCACAACAGAAUGAUGAUUGCGACCAUAACAAAUGUGGUUGGUGGUGGCGUAUGGUAGUUGGUGGUGGUAGAGUUUGAAUUUAACUUCUUUAAAUAUGUGAAUUAGUAUAUAAUAGAUUGUAUUAUGUUAUGUUGUGAAUUUUAUAUAUUAAACUAUAAAUUGAUUGUAUUAAAUUGUAUAAUUUAUAUAAAUUUUGUGUUAAAAUAUGAAUAAA
Molecule: long non-coding RNA, 764 nt
Organism: Lactuca sativa (garden lettuce)
Lineage: Eukaryota; Viridiplantae; Streptophyta; Magnoliopsida; Asterales; Asteraceae
Source: RefSeq, a predicted model, not a curated record